This 465-nucleotide ribosomal RNA is filed under the name uncultured bacterium. RNAcentral describes it as "partial 16S ribosomal RNA". It matches the Rfam family "Bacterial small subunit ribosomal RNA", at positions 28 to 507 of the family's 1533-position model. The record is from RNAcentral.
GACGAACGCUGGCGGCGUGCUUAACACAUGCAAGUCGAACGGAAAGGCCCUGCUUGCAGGGUACUCGAGUGGCGAACGGGUGAGUAACACGUGGGUGAUCUGCCCUUCACUUCGGGAUAAGCCUGGUAAACUGGGUCUAAUACCGGAUAUGACCUUCCAUGUAGUGUGGGGGGUGGAAAGAUUUAUCGGUGUGGGAUGAGCCCGCGGCCUAUCAGCUUGUUGGUGGGGUAAUGGCCUACCAAGGCGUCGACGGGUAGCCGGCCUGAGAGGGUGGACGGCCACAUUGGGACUGAGAUACGGCCCAGACUCCUACGGGAGGCAGCAGUGGAGAAUAUUGCACAAUGGGCGGAAGCCUUAUGCAGCGACGCCGCGUGGGGGAUGACGGCCUUCGGGUUGUAAACCUCUUUCGACAGGGACGAAGCUUCGGUGACGGUACCUGUAUAAGAAGCACCGGCUAACUACGUG